ACUAGAUCGGCAUCGAACUAGUAUUAAAGGAGCGAAUGCUCCGCUACUGGAUGGACUCGCGGUGCAUUAGCUAGUUGGUGAGGUAGAGGCUCACCAAGGCGAUGAUGCAUAGCCGACCUGAGAGGGUGAACGGCCACAUUGGGACUGAGACACGGCCCAGACUCCUACGGGGAGGCGGCAGUAGGGAAUUUUCGUCAAUGGGGGAAACCCUGAACGAGCAAUGCCGCGUGAGUGAAGAAGGAUUUCGGUCU
This 251-nucleotide ribosomal RNA is filed under the name uncultured Bacillota bacterium. Its description in RNAcentral is "uncultured Firmicutes bacterium partial 16S ribosomal RNA". It matches the Rfam family "Bacterial small subunit ribosomal RNA", at positions 180 to 424 of the family's 1533-position model. Lineage: Bacteria; Bacillati; Bacillota. The record is from RNAcentral.